This is a long non-coding RNA of Hypanus sabinus (Atlantic stingray), 451 nucleotides long. RefSeq lists it as uncharacterized. Lineage: Eukaryota; Metazoa; Chordata; Chondrichthyes; Myliobatiformes; Dasyatidae. The record is from RefSeq and is a predicted model, not a curated record. The transcript is spliced from 3 exons.
AGCUGAAUUACCGAACUUGGAUCCAGCCAGUACAGCUGUAGGAAAGAUCUUUUCCCUCCGUCUUUUAAAAAAAAAUAGAGCUUCCAGACAAAAAUCAACACAUGAAUGUUUGUGAAAACGGAAUCUCCUUGUUAUCUUGAAAUGGAAUUCUGGGUGAGCUGAAGGGAAUGCUAGAAGAAUACAAAGAUGAUCAACUGAUUGUAUGAAUACAUUAAUCAGGAAACUGGCUACAGCAACUGCUUACUAAUUGUUACCUGACUGUUCAAAUCUGUCCAUAUUAUGUUAACUCCUGUGGUCUACCGGUUAAUUAGAUUUGCACAUAUUAAUGACAGACCACUGAGUUUGGAUUGCCUUCCUCAAGCAUUUUGAAAAGUUAAAGUCAUCACAGGAGUGAAACUUGUUCACCUUUCAUAAUUUCUAAAUUCCUAAUUUCUCAACAAAAGACUUUUCU